AAUAUUGGUCAAUGGGGGCAACCCGGAUCCAGCCAUGCCGCGUGAGUGAAGAAGGUCGUCGGACUGUAUAGCACUGUAAGUUGGGAGGAAGGGCUUUAGGUAAAUACCCAGAAGUUUGGACGUUACUAACAGAAUAAGCACCGGUUAACUCUGGCCCAGCAGCCGCGGUAAUACAGAGGGUGCAAGCGUUAAUCGGAAUUACUGGGCGUAAAUCGCGAGUAGGUGGUUCAGUAAGAUGGGUGUGAAAUCCCAGGGCUUAACUUGGCAACUGCUUUCAUAACUGCUGAGCUAGAGUACGGUAGAGGGUAGUGGAAUUUCCUGUGUAGCGGUGAAAUGCGUAGAUAUAGGAAGGAACACCAGUGGCGAAGGCGACUACCUGGACUGAUACUGACACUGAGGUGCGAAAGCGUGGGGAGCAAACA
This 422-nucleotide ribosomal RNA is filed under the name uncultured bacterium. RNAcentral describes it as "partial 16S ribosomal RNA". It matches the Rfam family "Bacterial small subunit ribosomal RNA", at positions 360 to 774 of the family's 1533-position model. The record is from RNAcentral.